This 482-nucleotide ribosomal RNA is filed under the name uncultured Bacteroides sp. RNAcentral describes it as "bacterial SSU rRNA". It matches the Rfam family "Bacterial small subunit ribosomal RNA", at positions 8 to 484 of the family's 1533-position model. The record is from RNAcentral. Lineage: Bacteria; Pseudomonadati; Bacteroidota; Bacteroidia; Bacteroidales; Bacteroidaceae.
AGAGUUUGAUCCUGGCUCAGGAUGAACGCUAGCUACAGGCUUAACACAUGCAAGUCGAGGGGCAGCAUGACCUAGCAAUAGGUUGAUGGCGACCGGCGCACGGGUGAGUAACACGUAUCCAACCUACCGGUUAUUCCGGGAUAGCCUUUCGAAAGAAAGAUUAAUACCGGAUAGUAUAACGAGAAGGCAUCUUUUUGUUAUUAAAGAAUUUCGGUCAUCGAUGGGGAUGCGUUCCAUUAGGUUGUUGGCGGGGUAACGGCCCACCAAGCCUUCGAUGGAUAGGGGUUCUGAGAGGAAGGUCCCCCACAUUGGAACUGAGACACGGUCCAAACUCCUACGGGAGGCAGCAGUGAGGAAUAUUGGUCAAUGGACGAGAGUCUGAACCAGCCAAGUAGCGUGAAGGAUGACUGCCCUAUGGGUUGUAAACUUCUUUUAUACGGGAAUAAAGUGAGGCACGUGUGCCUUUUUGUAUGUACCGUAUG